Molecule: ribosomal RNA, 320 nt
Filed under: uncultured eukaryote
Lineage: Eukaryota
Description: partial 18S ribosomal RNA
Rfam family: Eukaryotic small subunit ribosomal RNA
Source: RNAcentral
CCCCUAGAUGUUCUGGGCCGCACGCGCGCUACACUGAACAGUUCAACAAGUCUUAACCUUGGCCGAUAGGUCUGGGUAAUCUUUGAACGCUGUUCGUGAUUGGGAUAGACCUUUGCAAUUAUGGGUCUUCAACGAGGAAUUCCUAGUAAACGCAAGUCAUCAGCUUGCAUUGAUUACGUCCCUGCCCUUUGUACGCACCGCCCGUCGCACCUACCGAUUGAAUGGUCCGGUGAAAUCUCGGGACGGCGGCUUGGUCGCUUGCGUCCGACUGCUGAAACUUGAUUAAACCAUAUCAUUUAGAGGAAGGUGAANUCGUAACA